Molecule: long non-coding RNA, 547 nt
Filed under: Physcomitrium patens
Lineage: Eukaryota; Viridiplantae; Streptophyta; Bryopsida; Funariales; Funariaceae
Description: long non-coding RNA (PPAT_LNC005707)
Source: RNAcentral
UAGAUUCCACAGGACGCUGAGAUCAGUGCUAGUCUCAUGUCCUGGACACUUUGCAUCUCUAUUCCUUCGCUUGCCUUCGCCACGCCUCUCUGCCCACCGCGCCGCGGCGGUUCCUCUACUGGGACGCUGGAGCUUGGCCUCCGGCGUAGAAAGUUCCUUGCUUGAUGGCAUCGGCGUUGGCAUCUCCCAGUGCGGCGGAAGACAGAUAUUGUUCGGCGAGCUGUACACGCUUUACGUUCUGUUGCUCCUGCACCAACAUUUCUCCGUACUCCAUCAGCUUCUCGAUGGUCAUGGCGGGCUUCUCGAAGGUUGGGGGUCCGUUCUUGGAGUUCACCAAGUUCUUUCCGAUGUUCUCCACUCCCGUACCUGCGAUCCACUUCCUCACCUCGUCGUCGUACACACGCGCCCUCAGGGCACCGAAGAAAUCUGAGUUACGAGAUAGUUCAGGUUAGAAUUCAGUCGAAGCCACAGUUUCAAUAAAUUAAUAUUAAACCAGCAUCAUCCAGCUGAACGCGAGAAUCAGUAGGGCCUUUUAUUACAUACCGAU